RNAcentral lists this ribosomal RNA (1255 nucleotides) under metagenome. RNAcentral's name for it is "bacterial SSU rRNA". It matches the Rfam family "Bacterial small subunit ribosomal RNA", at positions 244 to 1520 of the family's 1533-position model. The record is from RNAcentral.
GGUAGUUGGUCGGGGUAAUGGCCCACCAAGCCGAUGACGGGUAGCUGGUCUGAGAGGAUGGCCAGCCAGACUGGGACUGAGAAACGGCCCAGACUCCUACGGGAGGCAGCAGUUAGGAAUCUUGCGCAAUGGGGGAAACCCUGACGCAGCGACGCCGCGUGGGUGAAGAAGGCCUUCGGGUCGUAAAGCCCUUUUCCGAGGGACGAUAAUGACGGUACCUCGGGAAUAAGCCCCGGCUAACUACGUGCCAGCAGCCGCGGUAAUACGUAGGGGGCAAGCGUUGUCCGGAUUUACUGGGCGUAAAGAGCGCGCAGGCGGUCCCGUAAGUUGGCUGUGAAAUCUCCGGGCUCAACUCGGAGGGGUCAGUCGAAACUGCGGGGCUACGAGGGCGGUAGGGGGAGAUGGAAUUCCCGGUGUAGUGGUGAAAUGCGUAGAUAUCGGGAGGAACACCGAUGGCGAAAGCGAUCUCCUGGGCCGUACCUGACGCUGAGGCGCGAAAGCGUGGGGAGCGAACUGAAUUAGAUACUCAGGUAGUCCACGCCCUAAACGAUGGACACUAGGUGUGGGGGGUAUCGACCCCUCCCGUGCCGCAGCUAACGCGUUAAACGUGCCGCCUGGGAAGUACGGCCGCAAGGUUAAAACUCAAAGAAAUUGACGGGGGCCUGCACAAGCGGUGGUGUAUGUGGCUUAAUUCGAUGCAACGCGAAGAACCUUACCUGGCCUUGACAUGCACAUAGUAGAAGCCUGAAAGGGUGACGAGGUAGCAAUACCAGUGUGCACAGGUGCUGCAUGGCUGUCGUCAGCUCGUGUCGUGAGAUGUUGGGUUAAGUCCCGCAACGAGCGCAACCCCUGUGUCCUGUUGCCACCCCUUAACUGGGAGCACUCUGGACAGACUGCCUCGCUUCAACGAGGAGGAAGGUGGGGAUGACGUCAAGUCAGUAUGGCCCUUACGGCCAGGGCUGCACACGUACUACAAUGCCCGGCACAAAGGGAAGCAAGACCGUCAGGUGGAGCAAAUCCCAGAAAACCGGGCCCAGUUCAGAUUGUCGUCUGCAACUCGACGACAUGAAGCUGGAAUCGCUAGUAAUGGCGCAUCAGCUACGGCGCCGUGAAUACGUUCCCAGGCCUUGUACACACCGCCCGUCACAUCAUGAAAGCCGGUUGUACCCGAAGUCGCCCCUUAAAAGGUGCCGAAGGUAUGGCUGGUGAUUGGGAUGAAGUCGUAACAAGGUAGCCGUAGGGGAACCUGCGGCUG